GAUGAAGAACGCAGCGAAAUGCGAUAAGUAAUGUGAAUUGCAGAAUUCCGUGAAUCAUCGAAUCUUUGAACGCACAUUGCGCCCCCUGGUAUUCCGGGGGGCAUGCCUGUCCGAGCGUCAUUACAACCCUCAAGCUCAGCUUGGUGUUGGGCCCCGCCGCCCCGGCGGGCCCUAAAGUCAGUGGCGGUGCCGUCCGGCUCCGAGCGUAGUAAUUCUUCUCGCUCUGGAGGUCCGGUCGUGUGCUCGCCAGCAACCCCCAAUUUUUUUCAGGUUGACCUCGGAUCAGGUAGGGAUACCCGCUGAACUUAAGCAUAUAAUAAGCGGAGGA
RNAcentral lists this unclassified non-coding RNA (328 nucleotides) under soil metagenome. RNAcentral describes it as "partial contains 5.8S ribosomal RNA, internal transcribed spacer 2, and large subunit ribosomal RNA". The stretch from base 1 to 120 matches the Rfam family "5.8S ribosomal RNA", at positions 35 to 154 of the family's 154-position model. The record is from RNAcentral.